Molecule: ribosomal RNA, 253 nt
Filed under: uncultured bacterium
Lineage: Bacteria
Description: partial 16S ribosomal RNA
Rfam family: Bacterial small subunit ribosomal RNA
Source: RNAcentral
UACGUAGGGUGCAAGCGUUGUCCGGAAUUAUUGGGCGUAAAGAGCUCGUAGGCGGUCUGUCGCGUCGGAUGUGAAAACCCAGGGCUCAACCCUGGGCCUGCAUUCGAUACGGGCAGACUAGAGUUCGGUAGGGGAGACUGGAAUUCCUGGUGUAGCGGUGAAAUGCGCAGAUAUCAGGAGGAACACCGGUGGCGAAGGCGGCACUCUGGGCCGGUACUGACGCUGAGGAGCGAAAGCGUGGGUAGCAAACAGG